Molecule: ribosomal RNA, 460 nt
Filed under: uncultured bacterium
Lineage: Bacteria
Description: partial 16S ribosomal RNA
Rfam family: Bacterial small subunit ribosomal RNA
Source: RNAcentral
CCUACGGGAGGCAGCAGUGAGGAAUAUUGGUCAAUGGGCGGAAGCCUGAACCAGCCAAGUCGCGUGAGGGUAUAAGGCCCUACGGGUCGUAAACCUCUUUUGCCGGGGAGCAAGGGCCGGGACGCGUCCCGGCCCGGAGAGUACCCGGAGAAAAAGCAUCGGCUAACUCCGUGCCAGCAGCCGCGGUAAUACGGAGGAUGCGAGCGUUAUCCGGAUUUUUUGGGUUUAAAGGGUGCGUAGGCGGGCUUUUAAGUCAGCGGUAAAAAUUCGGGGCCCAACCCCGACCGGCCGUUGAACCUGGGGGCCUUGAGUGGGCGAGAAGAAGGCGGAAUGCGUGGUGUAGCGGUGAAAUGCAUAGAUAUCACGCAGAACCCCGAUUGCGAAGGCAGCCUGCCGGCGCCCGACUGACGCUGAGGCACGAAAGUGCGGGGAUCGAACAGGAUUAGAUACCCGAGUAGUC